This 359-nucleotide ribosomal RNA is filed under the name uncultured Desulfobulbus sp. Its description in RNAcentral is "bacterial SSU rRNA". It matches the Rfam family "Bacterial small subunit ribosomal RNA", at positions 1023 to 1382 of the family's 1533-position model. Lineage: Bacteria; Pseudomonadati; Thermodesulfobacteriota; Desulfobulbia; Desulfobulbales; Desulfobulbaceae. The record is from RNAcentral.
AAUACUGGAGGACAGGUGCUGCAUGGCUGUCGUCAGCUCGUGUCGUGAGAUGUUGGGUUAAGUCCCGCAACGAGCGCAACCCUUGCCUUUAGUUGCCAGCAGUUCGGCUGGGCACUCUAAAGGGACUGCCGGUGUUAAACCGGAGGAAGGUGGGGAUGACGUCAAGUCCUCAUGGCCUUUAUGACCAGGGCUACACACGUACUACAAUGGCCGAUACAAAGGGCAGCGACACUGCGAGGUGAAGCCAAUCCCGUAAAAUCGGUCUCAGUCCGGAUUGGAGUCUGCAACUCGACUCCAUGAAGUUGGAAUCGCUAGUAAUCGUGGAUCAGCAUGCCACGGUGAAUACGUUCCCGGGCCUU